CAGCAGCCGCGGUAAUACGAAGGUGGCAAGCGUUAUUCGGAUUUACUGGGCGUACAGGGAGCGUAGGCGGUUUGGUAAGCCCUCUGUGAAAUCUCCAGGCUUAACCUGGAAAAGUCGGAGGGGACUGCUGGGCUAGAGGACGGGAGAGGAGCGCGGAAUUCCCGGUGUAGCGGUGAAAUGCGUAGAGAUCGGGAGGAAGGCCGGUGGCGAAGGCGGCGCUCUGGAACGUUUCUGACGCUGAGGCUCGAAAGCGUGGGGAGCAAACAGGAUUAGAUACCCUGGUAGUCCACGCCUUAAACUAUGAAUACUAAGUGUCGGCAGUUUACUGCCGGUGCCGCAGCUAACGCAUUAAGUAUUCCGCCUGGGAAGUACGGCCGCAAGGUUGAAACUCAAAGGA
Molecule: ribosomal RNA, 397 nt
Filed under: uncultured bacterium
Lineage: Bacteria
Description: bacterial SSU rRNA
Rfam family: Bacterial small subunit ribosomal RNA
Source: RNAcentral